GACGAACGCUGGCGGCGUGCUUAACACAUGCAAGUCGAACGGCAAGGCCCUGCUUUUGUGGGGUGCUCGAGUGGCGAACGGGUGAGUAACACGUGAGUAACCUGCCCUUGACUUUGGGAUAACUUCAGGAAACUGGGGCUAAUACCGGAUAGGAGCUCCUGCUGCAUGGUGGGGGUUGGAAAGUUUCGGCGGUUGGGGCUGGACUCGCGGCUUAUCAGCUUGUUGGUGGGGUAGUGGCUUACCAAGGCUUUGACGGGUAGCCGGCCUGAGAGGGUGACCGGCCACAUUGGGACUGAGAUACGGCCCAGACUCCUACGGGAGGCAGCAGUGGGGAAUAUUGCACAAUGGGCGGAAGCCUGAUGCAGCAACGCCGCGUGCGGGAUGACGGCCUUCGGGUUGUAAACCGCUUUCGCCUGUGACGAAGCGUGAGUGACGGUAAUGGGUAAAGAAGCACCGGCUAACUACGUG
RNAcentral lists this ribosomal RNA (468 nucleotides) under uncultured bacterium. Its description in RNAcentral is "partial 16S ribosomal RNA". It matches the Rfam family "Bacterial small subunit ribosomal RNA", at positions 28 to 507 of the family's 1533-position model. The record is from RNAcentral.